GCUUAGAGUUUGAUCCUGGCUCAGGAUGAACGCUGGCGGUCGGCUUAACACAUGCAAGUCGAACGGAUUCUUCGGAAUCAAUGGCGGACGGGUGAGUAACGCGUGAGAAUCUGCCUUCAGGAUGGGGACAACAGCGGGAAACUGCUGCUAAUCCCCAAUAAGCCGAGAGGUGAAAGAAAUUCGCCUGAAGAGGAGCUCGCGUCCGAUUAGCUAGUUGGUGAGGUAAGAGUUCACCAAGGCGACGAUCGGUAGCUGGUCUGAGAGGACGAUCAGCCACACUGGGACUGAGACACGGCCCAGACUCCUACGGGAGGCAGCAGUGGGGAAUUUUCCGCAAUGGGCGCAAGCCUGACGGAGCCAGACCGCGUGAGGGAAGAAAGCCUUUGGGUUGUAAACCUCUUUUCCCAGGGAAGAAGAUCUGACGGUACCUGGGGAAUCAGCCUCGGCUAACUCCGUGCCAGCAGCCGCGGUAAUACGGAGGAGGCAAGCGUUAUCCGGAAUCAUUGGGCGUAAAGCGUCCGUAGGGUGCCAUCCAAGUCUGCUGUCAAAGCUCCUGGCUCAACCGGGAAAAGGCAGUGGAAACUAGGUGGCUAGAGGGCGAUAGGGGCAGAGGGAAUUCCCGGUGUAGCGGUGAAAUGCGUAGAGAUCGGGAAGAACACCAGUGGCGAAAGCGCUCUGCUGGGUCGCACCUGACCCUGAGGGACCAAAGCUAGGGGAGCGAAAGGG
This 726-nucleotide ribosomal RNA is filed under the name uncultured cyanobacterium. RNAcentral's name for it is "bacterial SSU rRNA". It matches the Rfam family "Bacterial small subunit ribosomal RNA", at positions 1 to 776 of the family's 1533-position model. The record is from RNAcentral. Lineage: Bacteria; Bacillati; Cyanobacteriota.